GUUUACAUCUGUCAAAAUAAAAAGUUACUAAAUGGCGAAUAUUGUGUUGAAAUUUAUUAAAGAAACUACGCUCGACUGGGUAUUUAUAAUUACUUUUUGCAGCUCUAGUACUUUUUUUAGAGCGGCUGGCGGCCACCAGGCAGCGCCACAUUUUUUGGAAAAAAGUGGGGGGCACCCUCGAAGAAUGGCCUUAACGGUGUGAUGAAGUUGUUGACCCUCAAAUUCUAACCUACUACGAACGAGGUAUAAAUUAACAUUAAAUAUUUGUUUUUAUAAAUAAAAGAUCAUAUUUAGAUCUUGAAAGUAUGUUUUUGGAGUGAUAAAAUGGAGGAAAAAAAAAUAAACCAGAG
Microplitis mediator is the source of this 350-nucleotide long non-coding RNA. RefSeq lists it as uncharacterized. The transcript has 3 exons. NCBI's taxonomy places the organism in Eukaryota, Metazoa, Arthropoda, Insecta, Hymenoptera, Braconidae. The record is from RefSeq and is a predicted model, not a curated record.